CGCUGAAUUUAAGCAUAUUACUAAGCGGAGGAAAAGAAACUAACAAGGAUUCCCUGAGUAACGGCGAGUGAAACGGGAAAAGCUCAAACUUUAAAUCUAACUGGAGAAAUUCAGUUCGAGUUGUAGUUUUGGGAGACGGUGUCUAGGCUUUGUUCUCUUGGGGUUUAAGUCUCUUGGAAAAGGGCAUCAAAGAGGGUGAUAAUCCCGUAUUUGACCUCAAUAGACUAGAGAUUGUUUAAGUUUGGUGAUUGGAUGUCAAAGUUCAGUCAUUUGGAUUUUAAGUGAACUUUAGUAUUGUGAACGGAGUCAACAAUGUCAACGUCUCGUAGAGUCGGGUUGUUUGAGAAUGCAGCCUAAAGUGGGUGGUAAAUUCCAUCUAAAGCUAAAUACAGACGAGAGACCGAUAGCGAACAAGUACCGUGAGGGAAAGAUGAAAAGAACUUUAGAAAAGAGAGUUAAAAGUGCUUGAAAUUAGUUAAGAGGAAGCGAUU
Molecule: ribosomal RNA, 491 nt
Filed under: uncultured eukaryote
Lineage: Eukaryota
Description: eukaryotic LSU rRNA
Rfam family: Eukaryotic large subunit ribosomal RNA
Source: RNAcentral